RNAcentral lists this ribosomal RNA (254 nucleotides) under uncultured bacterium. RNAcentral's name for it is "partial 16S ribosomal RNA". It matches the Rfam family "Bacterial small subunit ribosomal RNA", at positions 524 to 776 of the family's 1533-position model. The record is from RNAcentral.
UACGUAGGUGGCAAGCGUUGUCCGGAAUUAUUGGGCGUAAAGCGCGCGCAGGCGGCCUCUUAAGUCUGAUGUGAAAGCCCCCCGGCUCAACCGGGGAGGGCCAUUGGAAACUGGGAGGCUUGAGUAUAGGAGAGAAGAGUGGAAUUCCACGUGUAGCGGUGAAAUGCGUAGAGAUGUGGAGGAACACCAGUGGCGAAGGCGACUCUUUGGCCUAUAACUGACGCUGAGGCGCGAAAGCGUGGGGAGCAAACAGG